GAAUAUGAAAUUCUCCGAUUUUACCAAACCUAAGGUCUAUCUAUGGUUAGUAAAACAGUAGGGUAUAAUUAGAAAUUUUUAUGCCUCCCAAUGGAAAGGAGAUAGUAGAAUUAUAAU
RNAcentral lists this non-coding RNA (117 nucleotides) under Terrisporobacter othiniensis. RNAcentral's name for it is "Molybdenum/Tungsten riboswitch aptamer (Moco RNA motif)". It matches the Rfam family "Molybdenum/Tungsten riboswitch aptamer (Moco RNA motif)". RNAcentral also lists the same sequence under 1 other name. The record is from Rfam by way of RNAcentral. Lineage: Bacteria; Bacillati; Bacillota; Clostridia; Peptostreptococcales; Peptostreptococcaceae.